Molecule: non-coding RNA, 1559 nt
Organism: Peromyscus maniculatus bairdii (prairie deer mouse)
Lineage: Eukaryota; Metazoa; Chordata; Mammalia; Rodentia; Cricetidae
Source: RefSeq, a predicted model, not a curated record
ACCGCCUGUAGAGCUGCGGGAGGUGGGAGCCCCUACCCCCACCCCUGUACCGUCACGGCCUCUGCCGCUGGGCGACGCUCCUCCUAGCCCGCUGUCGCCUGCAGCUCCAAGGGACGCCUUUCUGUCCCGGCUUUAGAGGUCCAUGAGCAAACGCUCCCGCGAUGCCACUGUUCUCACGACUCCCACUCCAGUAACCAGGUGGUUUGUGAGAGCCAAGAGGGAAGCCGGCAAGCGGGAGCCUAAAGUUAAGGCUUUCCGCCCGGGAUUUGCCACUGAGGUUUGUAACACGCACAAUUUGAGCAGAAAAGUUUUUGCAGUUGACCAGUAAUAAGCUGGGUAGCUUGAUCCGAUAGCACCAUUCUUACAUUAACGCGUGCCAAGGGUUUUUAAUGCGUGGGUUCUGCGAAACCGAAACACCUAACCGAGUGCUGGGGCCUCCAUUGUGUUACCCAUCCUAUCAUCGAAUUCGCUCACUAUACACCUGAUACUUUCUCUGUCUUUUCUCUGGGACAGCCAGAUGUUACUCCAUCUUAAAGAUCUCAUCAAGCUGUGAAUGUUUCUUUGAAAAACUGCAAGUCUAAAAUGGUGCAUACAGGCAAAAUAUGGAAAGAAAACUCAGGCAAGAUAACAGAGAAAAUGGACUAUGAACUAGUGACUGUGACCUCGGCCCUUGAGAAAGAGAAAAUAGACACGGAUAGACACACAUGAGGGAGUGAGAAUGCCAUGGGAAGAUGGAGACAGAGACUGAACGAUGUGUUGACCCGUCAAAGGAUGCCAACACCUGGCAGCAGCUACCAGGAGACAAUCCUGAAACAGACUUCCCUUCAGAGAUCCUGGUAGAAAGGAGCCUUGCCAACACCUUCCUCUUGGACCUCCAGCCUCCAGAGCGAGGUUCCAGCAGGCAUGCCAGCCUGUGGCUAGUGGGCUGCAUGCGGCCAAGGACAGAUAUGAACAUGCCCAAACACAAAACUAUAAAUUUGGGCCUGCAAGACGGAUCCAUGGAUUAACGUGCUUGUUGCGCAAACUUAAAGAUAUGAGUUUGAUGCCUGGAACUCACAGUGGAAGAAGAGAAACAACUCAGGCAUAUCUCUCUCUCUCUCUCUCUCUCUCUCUCUCUCUCUCUCUCUCUCUCUCUCUUUCUCUCUCUCUGUAUGUGUCUAUCUGUCUGUCUGUCUAUCUCUUUUUCUCUGACACACACACACAUACACACACACAAUCUUGCUCACUAAAUUAAAUAAUAAAAUGUAAAUCCCCACGGAAACAAGGCCCCGUAGCCAUACUAAGACUGACACACUUAUGAACUCGCAGAAAGUGUGGCCGCAUGCACAGGACCUGCACAGGUCUAAGCCAAAUGGGGUCCCAGUGCUAAGAGGGGGAGCAGACGCAAGCCCCCAUCUGUAACCCAGAAGCUAUUUCCAAUCGAUAACUACUUGCUAAGGAAAAAUUAGCUUUUGCCAAUGGAGUCUCACUGGGUCUACAAAGCACACUUAAGGGCAGGCUCUAUGCCAGCAGUAGAUGGCCAACACAGAAUAAACUCAAUAGUAUCUUGGGAGGGUUUU